Molecule: ribosomal RNA, 548 nt
Filed under: uncultured Glomus
Lineage: Eukaryota; Fungi; Glomeromycota; Glomeromycetes; Glomerales; Glomeraceae
Description: SSU rRNA
Rfam family: Eukaryotic small subunit ribosomal RNA
Source: RNAcentral
UUGGAGGGCAAGUCUGGUGCCAGCAGCCGCGGUAAUUCCAGCUCCAAUAGCGUAUAUUAAAGUUGUUGCAGUUAAAAAGCUCGUAGUUGAAUUUCGGGACCAAUUUGUUGGUCGUGCCUCGGUACGUACUGGUAUUAUUGGUUUCUCCCUUCUGAAGAACCUUGAUGUCAUUAAUUUGGUGUCUUGGGGAAUCAGGACUGUUACUUUGAAAAAAUUAGAGUGUUUAAAGCAGGCAUACGCUUGAAUACAUUAGCAUGGAAUAAUGAAAUAGGACGAUUGAUUCUAUUUUGUUGGUUCCUAGGAUCGACGUAAUGAUUAAUAGGGAUAGUUGGGGGCAUUAGUAUUCAAUUGUCAGAGGUGAAAUUCUUGGAUUUAUUGAAGACUAACUACUGCGAAAGCAUUUGCCAAGGAUGUUUUCAUUAAUCAAGAACGAAAGUUAGGGGAUCGAAGACGAUCAGAUACCGUCGUAGUCUUAACCAUAAACUAUGCCGACUAGGGAUCGGAUGAUGUUAAUUUUUUAAUGACUCAUUCGGCGCCUUACGGGAAAC